AAGUACGGUGGCGCCACCUACGUGAGGCAGCCGCCUAAAGAGUGAAUGGUGACUGGGGUG
This 60-nucleotide ribosomal RNA is filed under the name uncultured bacterium. Its description in RNAcentral is "partial 16S ribosomal RNA". The record is from RNAcentral.